CAGUCGCCACGGUAAUACGUAGGUGGCAAGCGUUGUCCGGAAUUAUUGGGCGUAAAGGGCUCGCAGGCGGUUUCUUAAGUCUGAUGUGAAAGCCCCCGGCUCAACCGGGGAGGGUCAUUGGAAACUGGGAAACUUGAGUGCAGAAGAGGAGAGUGGAAUUCCACGUGUAGCGGUGAAAUGCGCAGAUAUCAGGAAGAACACCGAUGGCGAAGGCAGUUCUCUGGGCCGUAACUGACGCUGAGGAGCGAAAGCGUGGGGAGCAAACAGGAUUAGAUACCCGGGUAGUCCCUGUCUCUUAUAC
This 301-nucleotide ribosomal RNA is filed under the name uncultured bacterium. RNAcentral describes it as "partial 16S ribosomal RNA". It matches the Rfam family "Bacterial small subunit ribosomal RNA", at positions 509 to 807 of the family's 1533-position model. The record is from RNAcentral.